This 496-nucleotide long non-coding RNA is filed under the name Coffea arabica (coffee). RNAcentral's name for it is "long non-coding RNA (CARA_LNC000808)". Lineage: Eukaryota; Viridiplantae; Streptophyta; Magnoliopsida; Gentianales; Rubiaceae. The record is from RNAcentral.
AGGGUUAAAAGAUCAUCAGUCACAAUUUUUCUGCAAAAAUGGUCCUUGCGCUUGCCAAUUUUGUUCUUUUCAACGAUUUUCGCAAUGUCAGCCAAUAGGUUUCUCUCAGAAACACAAGCACAUGGUACCAAACUCUGCUCACAACCACCAAAAAGAAGAACAAAAGACGACAAAAUUCAGAAAACUGGAACCUCACAAUAUCCUUGUGCAACCUGAAAUACGAAUUACCUUGAGGGAAUCACAUGCAUCGGGGCAACUGGUAUGGUUUGAUUCACCGAAGCAAUUGACUGAGUCGGCUUCAUCGUCUGAGCUGUCCGUACCGUUCCCCCUCAAGCACUUGCACCGCUGCCGGCCACACCUCUGCUUAUUGUCACCGCUCUCGUAGAUGAAAUUCUCCACCAUCUUAUCCAAGCAAACAGAACUCAGCUCGAAGUCAUCGCAAUUUUCCCUCCCAAAAUGUGACUCUCCUCCACCGGCGAUGGUUCCUGUUGACUUC